AUAAAUCCUGUGAAGUGGAGAGUAAUAAUAAUUUAAGUCUUAAGCGAGCAGAGUAGAGUGGGAGUCUGUAGAGUUAUCUAUUGUGAAAAGAGCCAUGGAGGAGCCGCCCUAAAGGUUAAGUCUUAGUAAGGUGUGCCGCAGCCAUGCGUUAAGAUGUUGAGAGAAUCAGAUUUAUAUUUAAAUAUCUUUUUAUUGAUUUAUUGUCUGAUUAAUUAGAGUGGUAACGCGAUUUAACUCGUCUCUAUG
Molecule: non-coding RNA, 246 nt
Filed under: Hathewaya proteolytica
Lineage: Bacteria; Bacillati; Bacillota; Clostridia; Eubacteriales; Clostridiaceae
Description: Clostridium proteolyticum T-box sequence
Rfam family: T-box leader
About the family: Uncharged tRNA acts as the effector for transcription antitermination of genes in the T-box leader family. T-boxes are found upstream of many aminoacyl-tRNA synthetase genes and some amino acid biosynthetic genes usually in Gram-positive bacteria.
Source: RNAcentral